AAAGAGCGUGUAGGCGGCCCGGUAAGUCCGUUGUGAAAGUCGAGGGCUCAACCCUCGAAUGCCGGCGGAUACUGUCGGGCUAGAGUCCGGAAGAGGCGAGUGGAAUUCCUGGUGUAGCGGUGAAAUGCGUAGAGAUUGGGAAGAACACCGGUGGCGAAAGCGCUCUGCUAGGCCGCAACUGACACUCAUGGACGAAAGCUAGGGGAGCGAAUGGGAUUAGAUACCCCAGUAGUCCUAGCCGUAAACGAUGGAUACUAGGCGUACUCCGUAUCGACCCGAGCUGUGCCGUAGCUAACGCGUUAAGUAUCCCGCCUGGGGAGUACGCUCGCAAGAGUUAAACUCAAAGGAAUUGACGGGGGCCCGCACAAGCGGUUGGAGUAUUGUUGUUUAAUUCGAUGCAACGCGAAGAACCUUACCAGGGCUUACAUGUCCGGAAUCUUGGGAAACCCGAGAGUGCUUCGGGAGCCGGAACACAGGUGGUGCGUGGCUGUCGUCAGCUCGUGUCGUGAGAUGUUGGGUUAAGUCCCGCAACGAGCGCAACCCUCGUUUUUAGUUGCCAGCAUUAAGUUGGGCACUCUAGAGAGACUGCCGGUGACAAACCGGAGGAAGGUGGGGAUGACGUCAAGUCAGCAUGCCACUUACGUCCUGGGCUACACACGUACUACAAUGCUACGGACAAAGGGCAGCAAGCAUGCGAAUGCAAGCAAAUCCCAUAAACCGUGGCUCAGUUCAGAUUGCAGGCUGCAACUCGCCUGCAUGAAGUUGGAAUCGCUAGUAAUCG
RNAcentral lists this ribosomal RNA (781 nucleotides) under uncultured cyanobacterium. RNAcentral's name for it is "bacterial SSU rRNA". It matches the Rfam family "Bacterial small subunit ribosomal RNA", at positions 562 to 1344 of the family's 1533-position model. Lineage: Bacteria; Bacillati; Cyanobacteriota. The record is from RNAcentral.